This 449-nucleotide ribosomal RNA is filed under the name uncultured organism. Its description in RNAcentral is "partial 16S ribosomal RNA". It matches the Rfam family "Bacterial small subunit ribosomal RNA", at positions 335 to 801 of the family's 1533-position model. The record is from RNAcentral.
ACUCUGCGGGAGGCAGCAGUGGGGAAUAUUGGACAAUGGGCGCAAGCCUGAUCCAGCCAUGCCGCGUGAGUGAUGAAGGCCCUAGGGUUGUAAAGCUCUUUCACCGGUGAAGAUAAUGACGGUAACCGGAGAAGAAGCCCCGGCUAACUUCGUGCCAGCAGCCGCGGUAAUACGAAGGGGGCUAGCGUUGUUCGGAUUUACUGGGCGUAAAGCGCACGUAGGCGGACUAUUAAGUCAGGGGUGAAAUCCCGGGGCUCAACCCCGGAACUGCCUUUGAUACUGGUAGUCUUGAGUUCGAGAGAGGUGAGUGGAAUUCCGAGUGUAGAGGUGAAAUUCGUAGAUAUUCGGAGGAACACCAGUGGCGAAGGCGGCUCACUGGCUCGAUACUGACGCUGAGGUGCGAAAGCGUGGGGAGCAAACAGGAUUAGAUACCCGGGUAGUCCCAUGAU